Non-coding RNA from Peromyscus maniculatus bairdii (prairie deer mouse), 7612 nucleotides. NCBI's taxonomy places the organism in Eukaryota, Metazoa, Chordata, Mammalia, Rodentia, Cricetidae. The record is from RefSeq and is a predicted model, not a curated record.
CUGCCAAUCGAGGGGACAGCGGGUAGGAGGGAAGGUGGGCAGGAGCCUGCUGGGCUCGAUCGCCCAGAGCCCUCCCAUUCCGGGGGCUGAAGCAGGAAGAGGGUGGGGCCUGCACUCACAUGGCCCAGGAGGUCACUCGCAUUUCUGGGGUCUCCCAAAACCGGAGCCUAGACACAGGAAAUGCAAUCCCAGCGCGUGGGGCCCAGAGCUGGGAUGGGACCAACCUGCCCGGGAUGCCGGCGUCGCAGACCCUACUCACCAAUCAGAAACCCGAUAAAGCUGUUGUAUCAAAGAACCUUCUACUUCCACUUUAAGAACCUACGCUUCGCCAACAGCCGGAACAACACCUUCUUGUGCUACGAAGUGAACGGGAUGGAGUGCGACGAACUCGUCCCCCUUUACCAGGGGGUCUUCAGAAAAGAGGAUGACAUCCAUGCUGAAGAAUGCUUCCUCGACUGGUUCCACGGCCAAGUGCUGGAAGUGUUGUCCCCUAGCAAAGAGUACAAGAUCACCUGGUAUGUGUCCUGGAGCCCCUGUGGCAGUUGUGCCGAGCAGGUGGCCAGGUUCCUGGCCACCCACCGCAACCUGAGCCUGGCCAUCUUCAGCUCCCGCCUCUACUAUUUUUGGGACCCCCACUACCAGCACAAGCUUCACAGGCUGAUUCAGGCGGGAGCCCAGAUAGCUGCCAUGGACUUCCCAGAAUUUAAAAAGUGUUGGAACACCUUUGUGGACAAUGGCGGCAAGUCUUUCAGGCCUUGGAAGAAACUUAAAAUCAAUUUUAGGUUCCAGGAUUCCAAGCUCUGGGAGAUUCUCAGAAACCCCGUGAAUCUGCUGAGAGAAGACAUAUUCAACUUGCAGUUUAACAACGGGGCCCGGGUUGAGCCAGUCCAGCAUCGCUUCUACAAAAGGACGACCUAUCUGUGCUACCAGCUGGAGCAGAACGAUGACCAAGAGCCUCUCAAAGGCUGCCUGCAGAACAAGAAAGGUAAACACGCAGAAAUCCUCUUCAUUGAUGAGAUGCGUUCCUUGGAGCUGGGCCAAGCGCGAAUCACCUGCUACCUCACAUGGAGCCCCUGCCCGAACUGUGCCCAGAAACUGGCUGCAUUCAAAAAGGAUCACCCAGACCUGGUUCUGCGCGUCUACACCUCCCGCCUGUACUUCCACUGGAGGAGGAAGUACCAAGAGGGGCUGUGUGCUAUGUGGCAAUCAGGGAUCCAGGUGGACGUCAUGGACCUCCCGCGUAAGAAGGGACCACAGCCACCGAAUUUACUGACUGCUGGACAGACUUUGUGAACCCCCAAAGGCCGUUCCAGCCAUGGAAUCAACUGGAGAAAAACAGCAGGUGCAUACAAAGACGGCUCCGGAGGAUCAAGGAGUCCUGGGGCCUGCAAGGUUUGUUGAAUGACUUUGGAAAUCUACAACUUGGACCCCCAUUGCCCUGAAUGGCAAGAAGAGAUUCAAGACAGUCUCAAGCAUGUCUUUUGGCGUCCGCCCCAAAGCCAGGUCAAGAAGACCUUGUUCUCCUAUUUCUUUUCUUUUUUCUUUUGUUUUGUUGUUGUUGUUUUGUUUCUGUUUUGUUAUUUGAUGCAGAGUCUCACUGUGUAGCUUGCUACUCUGGAACUCGCUACUAGACCAGGCUGGCCUGAAAGUCAUAGACAUCCACCUGCCUCUGUCUUCUGAGUGCUGGGAUUAAGGAAUGUGCCACCAUUCCAGGCUUCGCGGCGUCACCAUUCCGGACCUUUCCUUCCUUUCUUUUUUUUUAUUCUCAUUUUAUCUUUUUUCAUUAAUAGGUGCUUAAUUUUGUAAUUGAAAAAUUUAAGUUGGGCUGGGCAUGGUGGCUCAUGCCUUUAACCCAGUACUUGGGAGGCAGGGGCAGGAGGAUCUCUGUGAGUUCGAGGCCAGCCUGGUCUACAGAGAGACUUUCAGGAUAGCCAGGGCUACACAGAGAAAUAAAUAAAUAAAUAAAUAAAUAAAUAAAUAAAUAAAUAAGGGAAAAAGUUGGGCAUGAUGGGUCAUGUCUGUCAUCCAGCACUUGAGAGGCUGAGGCAGGAGGAUUGCCACAAGUUUGAGGUCAGCCUGGGCUACACAGUGUGAGAUUCUGUCUCAAAAAAAUUUUAAAAAAUCAAGAGAACAGACAGUUGGGGUUUAUUUGUUUGUUUGUUUGUCUAUUUUGAGACAUGCUUUAAGCCUCCUGAGUGCUGGGAUUAAAGGUGCGCGCCAGUACUGCCAGGCUAUAACAAACAGUUUAAAAUCCAAAAACCCGAGUUCCUCUCUAAGAAGGUGGGCAACAGGCCCCUCACCAAUCAUGGUGGGAAUGACAAGAAAGGGGAGCCAGGGGGAUGGCUACUCUUGCUGCUCUUGAAGAUUGGAGUUCAGAUCCCAGCAGCUAACCCAGCUAUGAUUCCAGCUCCAGGGUAUCUGAUGCCUUUUCCUGGACAGCUCCCCCACCCCACCCCACCCCGCACCUGUGGGCACCGCCCCCAUAUAUAUAUCCUGUAUAUAUACAUAGAUUAAAGAGGAAAAGAAAGAAACGUUUGUGGGCAAAUGCCCUGUCCAGUGUGGAGGAGUUGGAUUAGAUUGUUUUCACUGUGCUCUGUCCCUUCCAAAUCUCUAUUACGUGCCUAAAUUAUCAGGACUAAGGCAGGCUUGGUGCUAUGUCCCGGCAGUCCUAUGUACUGCAGAGGUUGAGGCGGAAGGAGUUCAAUCCAGUUCAAGGCCAGCCUGGAAACCUUAGGAAGACGUGUCUACAGCCAGGAAAUGAAGGGAAGCUGGCGCUUCCCAGCUUCCUGUUUCCCUCUUCCUCCGUCCAGGACCCCACCCCUGGGAAGCGGUCUCCCCCAUCAGGGUGAGUCCUCUCUCUUCAAACCUUUCUGGGGGUCUGGGAGGCAUCCAGAGGGUAAGGUGCUUGCUGCACACCAAGGGGACCUGAGUUUGGUCCUCUGCACCCAUGUAAAAGGCUAGGUGUGAUGUGACUGACCUGCUUAGAGCCCAGUGCUGGUGGGGUGGGGUGGGAGGCUCAGGGAUAGGAUGAUCCCCAGAGCUCGCUCCCUGGCCAGUCACUUUAGCUACAAUGGUGAGCCCUGGGUUCGGUGAAAGGUUCUUUCUCAUUAAUUAGUUGCCAGGCAUAAUGGUCCAUGUCUUCAACCCCAGCUUCCUACCCACAGAGGUAGGGGAUCUCUGGAGUUCCAGGCCAGCCUUGUCUGUGCAGGGAGUCCAGGCCAGCCUGUCUCAAAAACAAACAAACUAAAUGAAUGGUGGAAUACAAUAGAGGAAGACAGCUGAUGUUGACUUCAUGUGCACCCCCUACACACACACACACACACACACACACACACACACACACACACACACACAUCACACAAGGAAAUGACAUAGACCUCUCUGGAAACACUGUUAAAGACAUCCAAAUCCAGUCAGGCUGACAGGGUUAACCAUCUUUUAAAAGUCUUCUUGUGAAUUUAACAGCUAAACAUGUUACUAGAACAUUCCAUCAUGAUCCUCAAAGGCUUAUGGCCAUUUCAUUACACAAAACGCAUUUAGUUCAUUUGUAAGGUACCCCGAAUCUUUUUUUUUUUUUUAUUGUAUUUCAUGUGUCUGGAUGUGUGCCUGUGCACCAUGUGCCCCUGAUGCACACAGAGGCUAGAAGAAGGAUUUGGAGCCCCUGGGGUUGGAUUUACAGAUGGGUGAGAGCCACUCUGUGGGUGCUGGGAAUGAAACCUGGGUCCUCUGGAGGAGUAGUCAGUGGUCCUAACCACUGAGCAACCUUCCCAGUCCUGGUGCCUAAAAUCUUAACAGUUCCUACAUAAUUAAAAAAAAUCCCAAAGUCUCUUCUGAGACUCAAGGCAAUUGCUUAACAGUCAGCUUCUGUAAAGGAAACACAUACAAAGUCACACGCUUCUAGUAAACCACAGAAUGGAAUAAACACCCUCAUUCCAAAAGAGCUGAAUGGGCAUGGCCAGGAAAGUUUUACCAAAGCAAGACCAAAAAAAAAAAAAAAAAACCCACCAAGGCAAACACCAAAGCCUACAGCUCUGCCUGCCACCUGGGGCGGGUUGGUUCACCUCUCCAGCUCUGUCAUCUGCAGUACACAUCUUUUGACAGCUCCACCCCAGGCCUGUCUCCUUUUGUGGACAGCCCAUCUACAAAACAGUGGGCUCUCCAUUGCGACUCAGCCUUCUCCACAGCUUCACAAAAUGACUCAGCACAGCUUCCUCACGGAUAAUCCAAUCUGACACUGCCAGACCUAGAGCUUUCUGGAAUCUUGGUGUAAGCCUCAGUGGCCCCAUAAUAAGUGACGUUUUGCAAAACCCGUACCAUGUGGGUAACAGUUCUAAGUCUCUGCUCCUCAGUUCAACCUCUUUGGAAAGCCCUUCCAUUCACACUGCCCAGCAGGGUUGUCUCCUAGGUGACUCCAAAUCCAGUCCCGUUGGCCAUGAAGAUUAGCAGCACAGGUCCCAUAGUAGUGGUUGGAAACAAAAAUCUUGGCAAGGCAUUGUUCAGGGUUCUAGGCUGGAGCCACAAGCAGGAAUUCCAUCUAGUUAAACACCAAGAGAACCAAAAGAUGUUGAGGGUCAGUUCGAUUAAGCACUUGAAGAUGCUGGGUGGCCCACUGAGUCCCUAAGAAAGAUGUGAGAACUGGACUGAGGGGCUUCAGGAGGGACCCCAAGACUAGUGUUCAGUCGGGGAUGACAGCGAGCGUGGCUAUUGUGCAGAAUGUUCUGCCCAUACCAGCCAUCUGGACACUGGAUGCUGACACAGAACCUCUGCCUCAGGUCACCUCCGCUAGGAACACUCGUCAGAAUGAAGGAAGAAAAAGUGAGGGGAAGGAGGUUACAAUAAGGAGCAUAGCACAAGAAGGAAGGGAAACCAGGCAUACCACACUAAAUGUAAAGAGCAUAAAUCAUUUCAUACUGUUCACAAGAAACUCCUUAACAGACAGAUAAUCUGGUCACUGUGACAAAACACGGCGACCAGACGUAACUAUGAAAGAAAUCAUUUGUUAUGGCCGAUGGUUCUAGAGGGGAAUUCAUAAUGACGGGAAGGUUCAGCAGCCAACAGCUGAAGCAGGAAGCUGAGAGAUCACGGCUCCAUCCGCACCCGGGAAGUCUAGUGAACCAGCUGGACGUGGGAGGAGGCCGUAAACUCUUAUAUUUUUGGUUGUGAGCCUAGCCUUUAACGGCUGAGCCAUCUCUCCAGCCCAAGGCUGUAACCUCUCAAACCUGACCCCCAGUGACAAAUUUCCCUCAUCAAGACUCCACCUCCUAGCCUGGCAGUGAUCCCAGCACUCGGGAGGGGGAGGCAGGCCGAACUCUGAGUUUGAGGCCAGCCUAGUCUACAGAGCAAGUUCCAGGACAGGCAGGGCUACAUAGACCCUGUCUCAAAAAAUAAAAACAACAAAAAAAUUCCAUCUCGUAAAGGUUCUAGAACUUCCCCAACUGGACACCAAGUGUUCAAAUAGAAGCCCAUGGGAGGCAUUUCUCAUUCAAACUACCACAACAGGCAAAUAAAAAGAUGGAAGCAAGUCUGUAGGGCAGGAGUGGCUGGUGGCACACACCUUUAGUCUUAGCACGUGGGAGGCAGGUGGAUCUCUGUGAGUUCAAGCCCAGUCUGGUCUACAUAAUGAGUUCCAGGCCAGCUGAGGCUAUCUAGUGAGACCACCCUGCCUAAAACAAACAACGAACACCCAACCUCUCCUGGAGCUUGAGUUAGAGGCAGUUGUGAGCUGCCUAAAGUGCGUGCUGGAAACAAACCCCAAACCCUCUGCAAGCACAGCAAAUGCUCCUGACCGCUGACUCAUCUCUGCAGUCCUCAGAGACAACUUUUGUGGGGUUGGGUUUCCCCUUCUGCUCUCGUGUGGGCCCCAGGAAUUGAACUCAGGUUGUCAGGCUGUCAGUGUGCAAGUGUUUCUGCCUGCUGACUUCUCACCAAGUCCAGGGUAGCCAUAGGAACAAGGUGGGGUUCGAGGAAGUGACAGGUUAAAAGGGGACUUAACAUCAUGACAUAAAGGAACAAUUGAAGAAUGUGACAUACUAUAUUUAGACUUUUCCUUGCACCGGAAGAAGGCAGGGGCUUCCGAGAUGGCUUGGUGGUUAAGAGUGUUUGCUGCCCUUCCAGAGGACCUGAGUUCGGUUCCUGGUGCCCACAUUGGUGCUGCUCACAGCUGCCUGUGGCUCCAGGCCCACAAAGGGAUCUAGUGUCCUCCACAGGCAUCCGUACACACGUGGCACGCAUUGACAUUGACACAUACAUACACAUGAAGAAAAAUAAAUCUUUAAAAACUAGCCGUCAAGAGAGGGAGAGAGAUGGUUCAGACACAAGUCUGCUGCUUUUGUAGAGGAUGCAAAUCCAAUUCCUAGCAUCUACAUCUGGUCGCUCACAACCAUCUCUAACUCCUGCUCCAGGGGCUCUGACGCCUCUGGCCUCCAUGGGAACUUAUAGUCAUGUGCGCGCGCGCACACACACACACACACACACACACACACACACACACACACACAUUUUUUGAAAAAACAAACAACUUUUUUUUUUUUAAAUAGCAGCCAUAUACAUGAAGGAAAAAACUACUUGAAGUCCCAGAUUUGGCUGGAGCGGUAAUGUUGGCAGGUCAAGGUGGACCGUGCUUGGUCUAAUCAUGUAGCCCUCCCCCUUUGUCGAUACCUUUGUUUCUCCCAAAGCUAAGGGUGUCCAUGCAACUCAACUAUAAUCUGUCAGUGUAAGAAAAUAUCUCCUGGGAGAGCAUUUAGAUUUGACAGACAGACAGACAGACUUUGAGCCUAUUUGGUUAGAUGAGCUCUAAACCAUUUGUGUGGGUGUACUGGUAAAUUGUUGCAUGCUGUUUGAAUUCAUUCAGAGUCUGGCUCUGAAGGUGGGGUUGCUUCAGAUGCAAGCAUGUUUAUACCAAGUGUCCCCCAAGACCCCUUGUCUAGGGAAUGGGCUGGCCCCAUAACCAUGAGAGGGAGGAGAGGGAAGAGAGAACCGUAAAACAGCCCGAGUUAAAACAGCGUCCUAAGGAACAGCUAGAAGAGCCAGAAGGUGCAGGCACUUGACUUUAAUCCCAGCACUCGGAUCUCUGAGUUCGAGGCCAGCCUGGUCUACAGAUCGAGUUCCAGGACAGCCAGGACUACACAGAGAAGCCCGGGCUCAAAAAACAAAAACAAACAACAUCAACAACAACAGCUAGCAGGUCAGCUGUCUCCCACGAUAGAAAAGUGCUCUGGGUGAGAAGAGGCUGGAGGUUCAGCCCUGGAGGCAGCGGGACCCCCAGCUGACUGCCUCUGCCUCUCCAGUUGGUUUCUGCUGGGUGAUGCGAGCACCUCACUGAAUGAACUCUAUUUGUUGCUAUUUGUUCCUUUAUUUGAAAGCCUUACCCGAGGGGACACUCGGCUCUGCCCAGGACUCCUUGGGGGAAACAGCUGGCUGCUUUAAUAGGGUUUCCCCAGCUGACUUUUGCUGGACGUUUAUAAGCCCCAUUUGAGGAUGUUUUGUUAUGGCUGUUUCUUCUUUUACUUUGCCUUGUGGCUUACCAAAUAAACUUACUCAUUAAACCACAACUGUGGCUAUUGGAGAUCAUUCUCAGGACCACACAGAACCAUGGGGAAACAUACACAUAAAG